UCUACGGGCGGCAGCAGUGAGGAAUAUUGGUCAAUGGGCGCGAGCCUGAACCAGCCAAGUAGCGUGAAGGAUGACUGCCCUACGGGUUGUAAACUUCUUUUAUAAAGGAAUAAAGUGAGGCACGUGUGCCUUUUUGUAUGUACUUUAUGAAUAAGGAUCGGCUAACUCCGUGCCAGCAGCCGCGGUAAUACGUAGGUGGCGAGCGUUAUCCGGAAUGAUUGGGCGUAAAGGGUGCGCAGGCGGUCCUGCAAGUCGGGAGUGAAACGCAUGAGCUCAACUCAUGCAUGGCUUUGGAAACUGGAGGACUGGAGAGCAGGAGAGGGCGGUGGAACUCCAGGUGUAGCAGUAAAAUGCGUAGAUAUAUGGAAGAACACCAGUGGCGAAGGCGGGCGCCUGGCCUGUUGCUGACGCUGAGGCACGAAAGCGUGGGGAGCAAAUAGGAUUAGAUACCCCGGUAGUC
RNAcentral lists this ribosomal RNA (460 nucleotides) under uncultured bacterium. Its description in RNAcentral is "partial 16S ribosomal RNA". It matches the Rfam family "Bacterial small subunit ribosomal RNA", at positions 338 to 795 of the family's 1533-position model. The record is from RNAcentral.